This 343-nucleotide unclassified non-coding RNA is filed under the name Cyanocephalus rugosus. RNAcentral's name for it is "partial contains external transcribed spacer and 18S ribosomal RNA". Lineage: Eukaryota; Viridiplantae; Streptophyta; Magnoliopsida; Lamiales; Lamiaceae. The record is from RNAcentral.
GGCUUUCCUGUGUUGCAUACCUAUUGCGAGGGUAUUCGGUUGGCUAAAACGGUCUCAUCUCCGCCUUGUGCUAGCGCUCCUUGCGGGGCGUCUGGCGCGGGGCGGAUCUCAAGGYGUCCGUCGUGUUUCGCGCCGCAUUCACCCGUAUGGGUGUUUGGGUAGGCGACCCACGACGUGCCGCUCGUUGGCUCGGGUACGGAACAUYGGGUGGGUACGAGGCAUUGGCCUCCGAUCACCACACGAAUGCGUUCUACGCUUUAUGCGAACGACGGCCGCACUCGRCGUUCGGCGGAGCACUCGCUGCUCGAUCGAAUCCGAGUCGGCGUCGGUGAGGGAUGCUACC